RNAcentral lists this long non-coding RNA (1143 nucleotides) under Ailuropoda melanoleuca (giant panda). RNAcentral's name for it is "lncRNA (ENSAMEG00000029659.1)". The record is from RNAcentral. Lineage: Eukaryota; Metazoa; Chordata; Mammalia; Carnivora; Ursidae.
CUUAACCAAAUACACUCUUUAACUGAAUACAAAGCUAUUCCUGCAGUUGGGGUUUUUUUCAAUUUCUCUCUCAAUGUCCUCAAUCAAGAGAUUGGGAAAUACUGGCUUCAAGAAUUUGAACUCACCAGUCCUAGGAACUCCCGUCAGACGCAUGUCAUACUGGUAGCUGUGGGACAGGGUCCCCGUGCCGCUGACGUCCACCAGGUGGCCCGCAAACGGGCCCUCGGGCACCGCGCAGCCGCCCCCCGACGCCGCCCGGCUCCUCCUGCACAGCCGCACCGCCACGAACACCAGCACCGACACCAGGAAGAGCGACGACACCGACGCCAAGGCGAUGACCAAGUAGACGGUGAGCGGGUCGGCCCGGGCCUCGGCCGCCGCCACGUCCGGCAGCGGCAGGUAGGGCUGCGAGAAGCCGUCCACCAGCAGCACGUGCAGCGUGACGCUGGCCGACAGCGGCGGCUCGCCAUUGUCCUUGACCAGCACCAGCAGCCUGUGCUUGACGGCGUCGCGCUCGCUCAGCAGCCGGGCCGUGCGCACCUCGCCGUUGUGCGCCCACACGCCGAACAGCCCGGGCUCCGUGGCCUUGAGCAGCUGGUACGACAGCCAGGCGUUCUGGCCCGAGUCGCCGUCCACCGCCACCACCUUGGUCACCAGGUAGCCCGCCUCGGCCGCCCUGGGCACCAGCUCGGUGCAGGGCGCCGAGCCGUUCUGCAGCGGGUACAGCACGAAGGGCGCGUUGUCGUUGUCGUCCACCACCAGCACGCGCACCAGCGCCUGGCUGCUGAGCGCGGGCGAGCCGCGGUCGGCCGCGCGCACGCCGAACUCGAACGCCUGCAGCGCCUCGUAAUCCAGCGCCCUGAGCGCGAACAGCUGCCCGUUGUCCGCGUUGAUGGACACCAGCGAGGCCAGGGGCAGGUGCGGGUCGUGGGGCGGCAGCAGCAGCGAGUAGGUGACCUGGGCGUUGGCGCCCGCGUCUCUGUCGGUGGCGCUCACGCUGCCGAUGUGCAGGGCGGGGCUGUUGUUCUCGCGGACCCGCAGGGUGUAGGAGCUUUGGCUGAAGGCGGGGGCGUUGUCGUACGUCGGACACCGUCACGCUUAAGUUGUGCUGGGUUUUCAGCCUGGGGGUCCCCAGGUCGGUGA